Molecule: ribosomal RNA, 252 nt
Filed under: uncultured bacterium
Lineage: Bacteria
Description: partial 16S ribosomal RNA
Rfam family: Bacterial small subunit ribosomal RNA
Source: RNAcentral
UACGUAGGCAGCGAGCGUUGUUCGGAGUUACUGGGCGUAAAGGGUGUGUAGGCGGUCUUUUAAGUUUGGUGUGAAAUCUCCCGCUUAACCGGGAGGGUGCGCCGAAUACUGAGGGACUAGAGUGCGGGAGAGGAAAGUGGAAUUCCUGGUGUAGCGGUGAAAUGCGUAGAUAUGUGGAGGAACACCGGUGGCGAAGGCGGCCUGCUGGGCAGUAGCUGACGCUGAUGCGCGACAGCGUGGGGAGCAAACAGG